CGAAUGCUGACAUAAGUAACGAUAAAGCGGGUGAAAAGCCCGCUCGCCGGAAGACCAAGGGUUCCUGUCCAACGUUAAUCGGGGCAGGGUGAGUCGACCCCUAAGGCGAGGCCGAAAGGCGUAGUCGAUGGGAAACAGGUUAAUAUUCCUGUACUUGGUGUUACUGCGAAGGGGGGACGGAGAAGGCUAUGUUGGCCGGGCGACGGUUGUCCCGGUUUAAGCGUGUAGGCUGGUUUUCCAGGCAAAUCCGGAAAAUCAAGGCUGAGGCGUGAUGACGAGGCACUACGGUGCUGAAGCAACAAAUGCCCUGCUUCCAGGAAAAGCCUCUAAGCAUCAGGUAACAUCAAAUCGUACCCCAAACCGACACAGGUGGUCAGGUAGAGAAUACCAAGGCGCUUGAGAGAACUCGGGUGAAGGAACUAGGCAAAAUGGUGCCGUAACUUCGGGAGAAGGCACGCUGAUAUGUAGGUGAAGUCCCU
RNAcentral lists this ribosomal RNA (479 nucleotides) under Escherichia coli. RNAcentral's name for it is "partial 23S ribosomal RNA". It matches the Rfam family "Bacterial large subunit ribosomal RNA", at positions 1291 to 1769 of the family's 2925-position model. The record is from RNAcentral. Lineage: Bacteria; Pseudomonadati; Pseudomonadota; Gammaproteobacteria; Enterobacterales; Enterobacteriaceae.